Molecule: long non-coding RNA, 1366 nt
Organism: Cannabis sativa
Lineage: Eukaryota; Viridiplantae; Streptophyta; Magnoliopsida; Rosales; Cannabaceae
Exons: 2
Source: RefSeq, a predicted model, not a curated record
AUCCCAAAAUUACAUUCAGUAACCAUGGUACUCACCCGAAACUAAUUUGGUCUUCAUUAUAUUGAUCCUAACGCUAAGGCUGGAGAUUUAGAAUAUCCAAAUGAGGUGACCAGUCGCCACAAGGAUCAACGUGGUAAAGACCAAAAUCUUGACGAUCCUAUAAAUGAAGACAAUGAAGUAGGAGAAAUGAGUUCUGAUGAUGCUGAAGAUGAUCCCCAAGACACGUUUACUGGCAGUGGUGCUGAGAAGAAAGACAAUCUAGACGAGUCAGACCAUGUGAUCAUUGUAAUACCCUAAGGUUUAAUAACCAGAUUAUCAACCCUAACUAGGUUAAUUAUGUAUUAAUGAGAAAUUAUAUUAUUAUAUGAUUUAAUAUGUGAAACUGUUAUGAUUUAUUAUAUUUUAAGACUCCUUUGGUGUGCUAGGAGCAUUUUCGUAAUUUUGACUCGAGAAGGAUAAAAUCAUAAUUUUAUGAUAUACGGUCCUUAUGGACUAUAUUAUUAUAUAGUAUAUUUUCUCUGUCUAUCUGUAGGUAUUUUCUGACAAGUCGGCGCGGUAUAGUCACAACCGAGUAUUUUGGGCUGAAUUGGGUUCAGGGCCUAAAAUACAUUGUUAGAAUUUAUUUAUGGUAUUUAUUUGAUAAAUGAAAAAAUAUGAUUAUUGUGAUAUGUGUGUGUGUGAGCAGAAUGACAAAAUUACCAUUGUUUAUAUGUGUAUGGUAAUAUAUGGCCUUAGGGGUAUUUUGGUCAUUUGACCACAUAAUUCUAUUUCAACAAAAAAAAAUUAAUUUUUCAUUUAUUUUUCUGGGUUUUGAACCUCUUAGCCGACCCCUCUCUCUCUCUCUCUCUCUCUCUUUCACCCUCUCUAUUCGUGAUUUCAACCAAUUUUGAAGAAAAGGCUUGAUUUUGGUAUAGGUGUGUGGAGAUUCUUAUGCUUGGAGCUUAAGGACUUUGGGAACACUUGAGGAUUUGGAAUCUCCACAUACUAGGAUUAUCAGGUAAGACAGUAAACUAACACAUAGAGAUUAGCGUUGUGGCGCCCAUGUAUGUUAUUAUGUGUAUGAUAUGUGAGAAAUCAAAAUUAGGGUUAUUAUCCUAAAUUAAACAAUUAUGCGAUCUAGGGUUAUUACUCUAGUAUUUAAGUGAUUAUGAAUGCAAUAUUAUACUGUAUAUGUUGAGAUAAAGAAUUAUGCGCGUAAGACAUAAUUAGGUUAGACUCAGUAAUUAAAACCGAGAUAAACCAUUCUAAGGCCUUAUUGUAAAUAGACGUGUGAAGGUAACACAUAGGUCUAUGUCAAAUAGACGAUAGGUGCAGUGACAUCAGUAAUUAUGUGAUUUCUAAUUAUUAUGCAUAUUAUUAUUUAUAC